UGGCGAACGGGUGAGUAACACGUGAGUAACCUGCCCUUGGCUUUGGGAUAACUUCAGGAAACUGGGGCUAAUACCGGAUAGGAGCUCCUGCUGCAUGGUGGGGGUUGGAAAGUUUCGGCGGUUGGGGAUGGACUCGCGGCUUAUCAGCUUGUUGGUGGGGUAGUGGCUUACCAAGGCUUUGACGGGUAGCUGGCCUGAGAGGGUGGCCGGCCACAUUGGGACUGAGAUACGGCCCAG
This 237-nucleotide ribosomal RNA is filed under the name uncultured Actinomycetales bacterium. Its description in RNAcentral is "partial 16S ribosomal RNA". It matches the Rfam family "Bacterial small subunit ribosomal RNA", at positions 96 to 334 of the family's 1533-position model. The record is from RNAcentral. Lineage: Bacteria; Bacillati; Actinomycetota; Actinomycetes; Actinomycetales.